GAUGAACGCUGGCGGCGUGCCUAAUACAUGCAAGUCGAGCGAACGGACGAGAAGCUUGCUUCUCUGAUGUUAGCGGCGGACGGGUGAGUAACACGUGGAUAACCUACCUAUAAGACUGGGAUAACUUCGGGAAACCGGAUCUAAUACCGGAUAAUAUUUUGAACCGCAUGGUUCAAAAGUGCAAGACGUUCUUGCUGUCACUUAUAGAUGGAUCCGCGCUGCAUUAGCUAGUUGGUAAGGUAACGGCUUACCAAGGCAACGAUGCAUAGCCGACCUGAGAGGAUGAUCGGCCACACUGGAACUGAGACACGGUCCAGACUCCUACGGGAGGCAGCAGUAGGGAAUCUUCCGCAAUGGGCGAAAGCCUGACGGAGCAACGCCGCGUGAGUGAUGAAGGUCUUCGGAUCGUAAAACUCUGUUAUUAGGGAAGAACAUAUGUGUAAGUAACUGUGCACAUCUUGACGGUACCAAAUCAGAAAGCCACGGCUAACUACGUG
Molecule: ribosomal RNA, 497 nt
Filed under: uncultured bacterium
Lineage: Bacteria
Description: partial 16S ribosomal RNA
Rfam family: Bacterial small subunit ribosomal RNA
Source: RNAcentral